This 467-nucleotide ribosomal RNA is filed under the name uncultured bacterium. RNAcentral's name for it is "partial 16S ribosomal RNA". It matches the Rfam family "Bacterial small subunit ribosomal RNA", at positions 28 to 507 of the family's 1533-position model. The record is from RNAcentral.
GACGAACGCUGGCGGCGUGCUUAACACAUGCAAGUCGAACGGAAAGGCCUCUUUCGGGGGGUACUCGAGUGGCGAACGGGUGAGUAACACGUGAGUAACCUGCCCUUGACUUUGGGAUAACUUCAGGAAACUGGGGCUAAUACCGGAUAGGAGCUCCUGCUGCAUGGUGGGGGUUGGAAAGUUUCGGCGGUUGGGGAUGGACUCGCGGCUUAUCAGCUUGUUGGUGGGGUAGUGGCUUACCAAGGCUUUGCCGGGUGGCCGGCCUGAGAGGGUGACCGGCCACACUGAGACUGAGAGACGGCCCAGACUCCUACGGGAGGCAGCAGUGGGGAAUAUUGCACAAUGGGUGGAAGCCUGAUGCAGAAACGCCGUGGGCGGGAUGACGGCCUUCGGGUUGUAAACCGCUUUCGCUCAUGACGAAGCUUUGUGUGACGGUAGUGGGUAAAGAAGCACCGGCUAACUACGUG